This 83-nucleotide transfer RNA is filed under the name Coemansia erecta. RNAcentral describes it as "tRNA-Leu". It matches the Rfam family "tRNA". Rfam says of the family: Transfer RNA (tRNA) molecules are approximately 80 nucleotides in length. The record is from RNAcentral. Lineage: Eukaryota; Fungi; Kickxellomycota; Kickxellomycetes; Kickxellales; Kickxellaceae. RNAcentral also lists the same sequence under 42 other names.
GGUUGGAUGGCCGAGUUGGUCUAAGGCGCUGGAAUCAGGAUCCAGUCUGGAAACAGGCGUGGGUUCGAAUCCCACUUCAACCA